Molecule: ribosomal RNA, 871 nt
Filed under: Curvularia spicifera
Lineage: Eukaryota; Fungi; Ascomycota; Dothideomycetes; Pleosporales; Pleosporaceae
Description: LSU rRNA
Rfam family: Eukaryotic large subunit ribosomal RNA
Source: RNAcentral
AUUGCCCUAGUAACGGCGAGUGAAGCGGCAACAGCUCAAAUUUGAAAUCUGGCUCUUUCAGAGUCCGAGUUGUAAUUUGCAGAGGGCGCUUUGGCUUUGGCAGCGGUCCAAGUUCCUUGGAACAGGACGUCACAGAGGGUGAGAAUCCCGUACGUGGUCGCUAGCUAUUGCCGUGUAAAGCCCCUUCGACGAGUCGAGUUGUUUGGGAAUGCAGCUCUAAAUGGGAGGUAAAUUUCUUCUAAAGCUAAAUAUUGGCCAGAGACCGAUAGCGCACAAGUAGAGUGAUCGAAAGAUGAAAAGCACUUUGGAAAGAGAGUCAAACAGCACGUGAAAUUGUUGAAAGGGAAGCGCUUGCAGCCAGACUUGCUUGCAGUUGCUCAUCCGGGCUUUUGCCCGGUGCACUCUUCUGUAGGCAGGCCAGCAUCAGUUUGGGCGGUGGGAUAAAGGUCUCUGUCACGUACCUCUCUUCGGGGAGGCCUUAUAGGGGAGACGACAUACCACCAGCCUAGACUGAGGUCCGCGCAUCUGCUAGGAUGCUGGCGUAAUGGCUGUAAGCGGCCCGUCUUGAAACACGGACCAAGGAGUCUAACAUCUAUGCGAGUGUUUGGGUGUCAAGCCCGAGCGCGUAAUGAAAGUGAACGGAGGUGGGAACCCGCAAGGGUGCACCAUCGACCGAUCCUGAAGUUUACGGAAGGAUUUGAGUAAGAGCAUGGCUGUUGGGACCCGAAAGAUGGUGAACUAUGCUUGAAUAGGGUGAAGCCAGAGGAAACUCUGGUGGAGGCUCGCAGCGGUUCUGACGUGCAAAUCGAUCGUCAAAUUUGGGCAUAGGGGCGAAAGACUAAUCGAACUAUCUAGUAGCUGGUUCCUGCGA